Molecule: long non-coding RNA, 666 nt
Organism: Topomyia yanbarensis
Lineage: Eukaryota; Metazoa; Arthropoda; Insecta; Diptera; Culicidae
Exons: 3
Source: RefSeq, a predicted model, not a curated record
GUUGCAAUCCAUGGUUACGCAGAAAAAAAAAACAAGUUUAUUACAAAACAACUCGUUAGCUUUUCAAAAGUCGUUUAGUAAUAAUCCGUCACUAUUUUAGAAAUUACCGAAGAAAUUAGCUACAAGCAGUUUUGUGACCGUGAACUUAUUACCACACCUUCUAAAAAGUGUCUAACAAUAGCACCCCCGUCAUAAUAUUUGACUCCGAAAUGGAGGACAACAAAUAAAUCAACGGCAGCAAAAUUUAACUAAUUUCAAGGAAAUCAAAAUAUACAAUUACACAAGAUGAAGUUGGUAUCACAUCUCCUACGACAUCCAUAUCGGAUGUGUCUAUGCAGAGUGACUCGGUCGAGAUUGGUCCGUCGAACAGUACCAGGCCAGGAUAGUGAAAAGAUUACCGUCAUAUUUUCGAAGUAUAUUAUACAGACUAUUGCGCUGAACUAAAAAGCUCAAAUCGAGUUAGAAAACGAGUAACACUGCAAAGAAAUCACUAAAGGGUUUAGUAUUCCGGCAGAUAUCGUUUCAUGUGAAGCAAAUCGAAUAUAUAUCGACAUUCGAAUGAGAAAACCGGUACUGAUCAGACUGCGUUUAAUACGUAAAUUUAUCAGACGAACGAACUGGCAGCCAAAUAGUUUCCUGGCUUGACUAAGUAUGAAAUAAAAUAAA